This 701-nucleotide ribosomal RNA is filed under the name Pectobacterium carotovorum subsp. carotovorum. Its description in RNAcentral is "bacterial SSU rRNA". It matches the Rfam family "Bacterial small subunit ribosomal RNA", at positions 83 to 781 of the family's 1533-position model. The record is from RNAcentral. Lineage: Bacteria; Pseudomonadati; Pseudomonadota; Gammaproteobacteria; Enterobacterales; Pectobacteriaceae.
UCUCAUUGACGAGCGGCGGACGGGUGAGUAAUGUCUGGGAAACUGCCUGAUGGAGGGGGAUAACUACUGGAAACGGUAGCUAAUACCGCAUAACGUCUUCGGACCAAAGAGGGGGACCUUCGGGCCUCUUGCCAUCAGAUGUGCCCAGAUGGGAUUAGCUAGUAGGUGAGGUAAUGGCUCACCUAGGCGACGAUCCCUAGCUGGUCUGAGAGGAUGACCAGCCACACUGGAACUGAGACACGGUCCAGACUCCUACGGGAGGCAGCAGUGGGGAAUAUUGCACAAUGGGCGCAAGCCUGAUGCAGCCAUGCCGCGUGUGUGAAGAAGGCCUUCGGGUUGUAAAGCACUUUCAGCGGGGAGGAAGGCGGUGAGGUUAAUAACCUCAUCGAUUGACGUUACCCGCAGAAGAAGCACCGGCUAACUCCGUGCCAGCAGCCGCGGUAAUACGGAGGGUGCAAGCGUUAAUCGGAAUGACUGGGCGUAAAGCGCACGCAGGCGGUUUGUUAAGUCAGAUGUGAAAUCCCCGAGCUUAACUUGGGAACUGCAUUUGAAACUGGCAAGCUAGAGUCUUGUAGAGGGGGGUAGAAUUCCAGGUGUAGCGGUGAAAUGCGUAGAGACUGGAGGAAUACCGGUGGCGAAGGCGGCCCCCUGGACAAAGACUGACGCUCAGGUGCGAAAGCGUGGGGAGCAAACAGGAUGCU